GCGGAACACGUGUGCAACCUGCCUUUAUCUGAGGGAUAGCCUUUCGAAAGGAAGAUUAAUACCUCAUAAUAUACUGAUUGGCAUCAAUUGGUAUUGAAAGCUCCGGCGGAUAGAGAUGGGCACGCGCAAGAUUAGAUAGUUGGUGAGGUAACGGCUCACCAAGUCAAUGAUCUUUAGGGGGCCUGAGAGGGUGAUCCCCCACACUGGUACUGAGACACGGACCAGACUCCUACGGGAGGCAGCAGUGAGGAAUAUUGGACAAUGGGUGCAAGCCUGAUCCAGCCAUCCUGCGUGAAGGACGACGGCCCUAUGGGUUGUAAACUUCUUUUGUACAGGGAUAAACCUACCCUCGUGAGGGUAGCUGAAGGUACUGUACGAAUAAGCACCGGCUAACUCCGUGCCAGCAGCCGCGGUAAUACGGAGGGUGCAAGCGUUAUCCGGAUUUAUUGGGUUUAAAGGGUCCGCAGGCGGGCUAGUAAGUCAGUGGUGAAAGCCUACAGCUUAACUGUAGAACUGCCGUUGAUACUGCUAGUCUUGAGUAUAGUUGAGGUAGCUGGAAUGAGUAGUGUAGCGGUGAAAUGCAUAGAUAUUACUCAGAACACCGAUUGCGAAGGCAGGUUACCAAGUUAUAACUGACGCUGAGGGACGAAAGCGUGGGGAGCGAACAGGAUUAGAUACCCUGGUAGUCCACGCCGUAAACGAUGCUAACUCGUUUUUGGGCUUUAGGGUUCAGAGACUAAGCGAAAGUGAUAAGUUAGCCACCUGGGGAGUACGACCGCAAGGUUGAAACUCAAAGGAAUUGACGGGGGCCCGCACAAGCGGUGGAUCAUGUGGUUUAAUUCGAUGAUACGCGAGGAACCUUACCAAGGCUUAAAUGGGAAUUGACAGCUGUAGAAAUACGGUUUUCUUCGGACAAUUUUCAAGGUGCUGCAUGGUUGUCGUCAGCUCGUGCCGUGAGGUGUUAGGUUAAGUCUUGCAACGAGCGCAACCCCUGUCACUAGUUGCCAUCAUUAAGUUGGGGACUCUAGUGAGACUGCCUACGCAAGUAGCGAGGAAGGUGGGGAUGACGUCAAAUCAUCACGGCCCUUACGCCUUGGGCCACACACGUGAUACAAUGGCCGGUACAGAGGGCAGCUACACUGCGAAGUGAUGCAAAUCUCGAAAGCCGGUCUCAGUUCGGAUUGGAGUCUGCAACUCGACUCUAUGAAGCUGGAAUCGCUAGUAAUCACACAUCAGCCAUAACGCAAUGAAUAC
This 1254-nucleotide ribosomal RNA is filed under the name Riemerella anatipestifer. Its description in RNAcentral is "bacterial SSU rRNA". It matches the Rfam family "Bacterial small subunit ribosomal RNA", at positions 108 to 1369 of the family's 1533-position model. The record is from RNAcentral. Lineage: Bacteria; Pseudomonadati; Bacteroidota; Flavobacteriia; Flavobacteriales; Weeksellaceae.